CCUACGGGUGGCAGCAGUGGGGAAUAUUGGGCAAUGGGCGCAAGCCUGACCCAGCAACGCCGCGUGAAGGAAGAAGGCUUUCGGGUUGUAAACUUCUUUUCUGAGGGACGAAGAAAGUGACGGUACCUCAGGAAUAAGCCACGGCUAACUACGUGCAAGCACCAGCGGGAAUCCGUAGGCGGCAAGCGUAAUCCGGAUUUAUUGGGUGUAAGGGGCGUGUAGGCGGGAAAGCAAGUCAGAUGUGAAAACUCAGGGCUCAACCCUGAGCCUGCAUUUGAAACUGUUUGUCUUGAGUGCUGGAGAGGCAAGCGGAAUUCCGGGUGUAGCGGUGAAAUGCGUAGAUAUAGGGAGGAACACCAGUGGCGAAGGCGGAUUGCUGGACAGUAACUGACGCUGAGGCGCGAAAGCGUGGGGAGCAAACAGGAUUAGAUACCCGGGUAGUC
Molecule: ribosomal RNA, 443 nt
Filed under: uncultured bacterium
Lineage: Bacteria
Description: partial 16S ribosomal RNA
Rfam family: Bacterial small subunit ribosomal RNA
Source: RNAcentral